AGAUGGCGACCGGCGCACGGGUGAGUAACACGUAUCCAACCUGCCGAUAACUCCGGGAUAGCCUUUCGAAAGAAAGAUUAAUACCGGAUGGCAUACGAAUAUCGCAUGAUAUUUUUAUUAAAGAAUUUCGGUUAUCGAUGGGGAUGCGUUCCAUUAGUUUGUUGGCGGGGUAACGGCCCACCAAGACUACGAUGGAUAGGGGUUCUGAGAGGAAGGUCCCCCACAUUGGAACUGAGACACGGUCCAAACUCCUACGGGAGGCAGCAGUGAGGAAUAUUGGUCAAUGGGCGAGAGCCUGAACCAGCCAAGUAGCGUGAAGGAUGAAGGCUCUAUGGGUCGUAAACUUCUUUUAUAUGGGAAUAAAAUUUUCCACGUGUGGAAUUUUGUAUGUACCAUAUGAAUAAGGAUCGGCUAACUCCGUGCCAGCAGCCGCGGUAAUACGGAGGAUCCGAGCGUUAUCCGGAUUUAUUGGGUUUAAAGGGAGCGUAGGUGGAUUGUUAAGUCAGUUGUGAAAGUUUGCGGCUCAACCGUAAAAUUGCAGUUGAAACUGGCAGUCUUGAGUACAGUAGAGGUGGGCGGAAUUCGUGGUGUAGCGGUGA
RNAcentral lists this ribosomal RNA (599 nucleotides) under uncultured Bacteroidales bacterium. RNAcentral's name for it is "bacterial SSU rRNA". It matches the Rfam family "Bacterial small subunit ribosomal RNA", at positions 86 to 684 of the family's 1533-position model. The record is from RNAcentral. Lineage: Bacteria; Pseudomonadati; Bacteroidota; Bacteroidia; Bacteroidales.